UACGAAGGGGGCUAGCGUUGCUCGGAAUCACUGGGCGUAAAGGGUGCGUAGGCGGGUCUUUUAAGUCAGGGGUGAAAUCCUGGAGCUCAACUCAGAACUGCCUUUGAUACUGAGGAUCUUGAGUUCGGGAGAGGUGAGUGGAACUGCGAGUGUAGAGGUGAAAUUCGUAGAUAUUCGCAAGAACACCAGUGGCGAAGGCGGCUCACUGGCCCGAUACUGACGCUGAGGCACGAAAGCGUGGGGAGCAAACAGG
RNAcentral lists this ribosomal RNA (253 nucleotides) under uncultured bacterium. RNAcentral's name for it is "partial 16S ribosomal RNA". It matches the Rfam family "Bacterial small subunit ribosomal RNA", at positions 524 to 776 of the family's 1533-position model. The record is from RNAcentral.